UCCCUCUAAAACCACUCUGUGUGGGGAAGCUGAGAGCCAGAGCCACGCUCAGAGGAUCCAUCAGCGACUCGAACCAGAACCAGAACCCAGCUGUGUGUCCUUGAGGAGCGACAGGUCAAAGGAUAUCAUCAUUUACUUCAAACCUCCUGGACCUGCAUCCCCAGAGAGAGUGGACCAGCAGAACUCAGAGGUUCCCAGAGGUCCGUCUGCC
Molecule: long non-coding RNA, 211 nt
Organism: Fundulus heteroclitus (mummichog)
Lineage: Eukaryota; Metazoa; Chordata; Actinopteri; Cyprinodontiformes; Fundulidae
Exons: 3
Source: RefSeq, a predicted model, not a curated record